GGGGAAUAUUGGGGCAAUGGGGCGAAAGCCUGACUCGGCAACGCCGCGUGAAGGAAGAAGGUCUUCGGAUUGUAAACUUCUUUUAUCAGGGACGAAGGAAGUGACGGUACCUGAUGAAUAGGCCACGGCUAACUACGUGCCAGCAGCCGCGGUAAUACGUAGGGUGCAAGCGUUAAUCGGAAUAACUGGGCGUAAAGGGCAUGCAGGCGGUUAUACAAGUAGGAUGUGAAAGCCUGGGGCUCAACCUCAGAACUGCAUUCUAAACUGUGUGACUAGAGUAUUGCAGGGGGAGACGGAAUUUCAGGUGUAGCGGUGGAAUGCGUAGAUAUCUGAAAGAACACCAAAGGCGAAGGCAGUCUCCUGGGCAAAUACUGACGCUCAUAUGCGAAAGCGUAGGUAGCAAACAGGAUUAGAUACCCUGGUAGU
Molecule: ribosomal RNA, 426 nt
Filed under: uncultured Succinivibrio sp.
Lineage: Bacteria; Pseudomonadati; Pseudomonadota; Gammaproteobacteria; Aeromonadales; Succinivibrionaceae
Description: bacterial SSU rRNA
Rfam family: Bacterial small subunit ribosomal RNA
Source: RNAcentral